RNA transcript from Setaria italica (foxtail millet), 2246 nucleotides. It is a transcript of the gene named E3 ubiquitin-protein ligase SIRP1, with no coding region annotated. Lineage: Eukaryota; Viridiplantae; Streptophyta; Magnoliopsida; Poales; Poaceae. The record is from RefSeq and is a predicted model, not a curated record. The transcript has 4 exons.
AUCCGGGUUCUGGGACCUUCCGCGUAGUUUCCUCUCUGCACUGCUUAUCCCAUUCCUCCGGCCCCGCCCCCGCCACGCCACUCCGAACUGCUCCUCGACGCAGGGCGCUGCGCAGGGGGUGAUCAUGGCCUGAAGGGAAAUCCCGCACCGCGACGCUCCAAGGGUGACAAGGAUAGCUUUCUCAGGCCAGGGAAGGAAGAUAAGAUACCUUAAUCUUCUUGACGCUGCAGAGCUUUUGAUGGUUGCUGGGUUGUGCUAUAAGUACUCAGGGGUGAAUUCGGACUGGAAGAUAAGAUACUGAAGUGAAACAAAAGUUGUCGAUAGAGUUUGUUUCAAAAUGGAUGAAGGCCAGGGAGUGAGGUACUGGUGCCACAUGUGCGAGGAGGUGAUCGAUCCUAUGCCUGAGAUGAAGUGCCCGAGCUGUGAGGGCGGGUUUGUGGAAGAGAUGGACUCUGAAGGCUUUGAACCAGCUACGAACACGAGGUCUGAUCGCUCCCUCUCUCUCUUGGCUCCACUGCUUCUUGGUGUGCUGGGGGGUUCGUCGCGCAGAUCAAGACUCAGGAGGGCGGCCAUGGAGGACGCCGAUGCUGAUGAGGAUGAUGACGAGGAUGAUUCAGACCGUGAGCUUGAAGUUCCCAGUAGGAGGCGAAGGAGGAGGGGCUCAUCAGCGCUUGCCAGGCUGCUCCAAACUAUCCAUGAUGACAUAAGGGGCUUGGAUGACACUGACAGUGAUACAGAGAGAGACAUGGAGAGAGAAAGAAGGGAGAGGCAGAGGGCGGAGAGGAGGGUGGAGAGGCAGAGGGCGGAGAGGAGGGCGGAGAGGUUAAGGGAAAUAGAGAGACUGAGCGAUCGUGGGAGGGAGAGGACAGAAAGCCUAAUACUGAUCAACUCCAACAAUGAGGCUAUUAUUCUCCAAGGAACAUUUGGACGCGAUGACAACCAGGAGGAAUCAAGCAACACAAGUUCUGGUGUAUCACUUGGGGAUUACUUUCUUGGUCCAGGCUUAGAUAUUCUCUUGCAGCGUUUGGCAGAGAGUGAUCUCAGUCGUUCUGGCACACCACCUGCCAAGAAGGAAGCAGUGGAUUCAUUGCCAACUGUGAACAUCAAGGAACUGUUGGGCUGUUCAGUCUGUCUUGAGGACUUUGAGAUGGGUGCAGAAGCAAAGCAGAUGCCCUGUCAGCACAAAUUCCACCCUCAUUGCAUCCUUCCAUGGCUGGAGCUUCAUAGUUCUUGCCCAGUCUGUCGAUUUCAGUUGCCUACCGAGGAGACAAAGAACCCAUGUGAAUCAGCCAGUGGUGCUGGGGCUAUGAACGGUGAUGGAGACAAUGCUGCUGCAAGCAGUAGUAGUGAUACAGAGGGUACUAACCGCAAUGGAGACAACCGCUCAGAUAGUCCUAUCUUCUCUGCUUUGAGCGCACUCUUCUCUGAUCCAUCCUCAUCAGAUGAUGAUGAAGGUGCUCCACACUCUUCUGAGAGCUGAAGUUUCUUCUACAUUGCAGACAGCGACAGAUGCAGGCUUACAAGUUACAAUAUGGUGAAGGUGUUCUGAAAUGUGAUGCGGCUAUCUUUAUAUUGUAGUUUCUGUACAUAUUUCUCUGAAUUGGCGCUCCUGGAAGACAAGCUAUUCUCUUCGCUUUAUGAGAACUAUGUGGCUUGUAAUGUGCUAGUGUGGUGCUCUUAUGAACUUAAAUAAAAGUUAGCCUCUAGCGUGCUUACCAUCUCCUGAAGACUUCGGCAUGCGUUAGUGGACUGCCAGUUUGGUUGACACUGUGACCAAUGUAAGGCUGAUCUCCUUCACUAGCUGUUUGGCUUAUGUAAGCAGUGACAUUGCGCCUUAUGCUUUUUCUGUGAGAACCCUUGGAAGGCAACUGGAUGAUUUCUAUGAAGGGAAGGGCCUUUUACCGAUACUUGUUACUCACAGUCGUCUGUGUUCUGGAGUUGAUGGAAGGUUGCAGCCAGGUCCAAGGGCAGUCCUGCCCUGUUCCAGAGGUUAUGGUUUGAAAGAACAUUUAAAAGGAGGUGGACAAAACAGCAUCUGCCAUCGCCGUCGGCAUGCUUGUGGAAUCUUGCUUGCUGUUUAUUUUCUUGGUUUGAUCAUCAGAUCACAUGGUAGAUGAGGGUAGGUCAUCUUUAUCUCCAUUCUGUUGAUUGUUCUGCUGCGAUUUCCCUGAACUAGGUGUGGCAUGUUUUGGUUUGCCACGAUUUUGUUCAGCGGGCAUGGUUGAAUUCAUAGAUAAAUUCAAGCU